Molecule: non-coding RNA, 212 nt
Filed under: Mycobacterium shinjukuense
Lineage: Bacteria; Bacillati; Actinomycetota; Actinomycetes; Mycobacteriales; Mycobacteriaceae
Description: Mycobacterium sRNA 6715
Rfam family: Mycobacterium sRNA 6715
About the family: First sRNA identified as a potential biomarker for the detection of MTB in patients.
Source: Rfam by way of RNAcentral
CCCUGCUGGACAACGCCAUGAGCAAGAAGCCGCAGGUGGUGCAGAUCGAGGCGAGCGACAAGGCGUUCAAGACGCACGGUUGCCAGCCCUGGCAAUACACCGGCGGUGACGGCACCGCACCCGCUGAGCCGCCCGGACCCGCGGCAGGUGCGCAACUGCAGACCAAUCUCGACAUCCUCAACGGAUUGCUCGGUCCGAUCGGCGAGCGAGUG